Molecule: transfer RNA, 133 nt
Filed under: Thermochaetoides thermophila DSM 1495
Lineage: Eukaryota; Fungi; Ascomycota; Sordariomycetes; Sordariales; Chaetomiaceae
Description: Chaetomium thermophilum var. thermophilum DSM 1495 tRNA
Rfam family: tRNA
About the family: Transfer RNA (tRNA) molecules are approximately 80 nucleotides in length.
Source: Rfam by way of RNAcentral
GGGCGUGUAGCUCAGUUGGUAGAGCGUUCGCUUAGCAUCUCUCCGAACCAGAAGCUUCCUUACCCUAACAAACAGCGGUUUCUGGUUAAAAGGCGUAUGCGAGAGGUCCUGGGUUCGAUUCCCAGCCCGUCCA